Molecule: ribosomal RNA, 425 nt
Filed under: uncultured bacterium
Lineage: Bacteria
Description: partial 16S ribosomal RNA
Rfam family: Bacterial small subunit ribosomal RNA
Source: RNAcentral
GUGGGGAAUCUUGCGCAAUGGGCGAAAGCCUGACGCAGCCAUGCCGCGUGAAUGAUGGAGGUCUUAGGAUUGUAAAAUUCUUUCACCGGGGACGAUAAUGACGGUACCCGGAGAAGAAGCUCCGGCUAACUUCGUGCCAGCAGCCGCGGUAAUACGAAGGGGGCUAGCGUUGCUCGGAAUUACUGGGCGUAAAGGGCGCGUAGGCGGACAGCUUAGUCAGAGGUGAAAGCCCAGGGCUCAACCUUGGAAUUGCCUUUGAUACUGGCUGUCUUGAGUUUGGGAGAGGUGAGUGGAACUCCGAGUGUAGAGGUGAAAUUCGUAGAUAUUCGGAAGAACACCAGUGGCGAAGGCGACUCACUGGCCCAAUACUGACGCUGAGGCGCGAAAGCGUGGGGAGCAAACAGGAUUAGAAACCCGAGUAGUCC